Molecule: ribosomal RNA, 250 nt
Filed under: uncultured bacterium
Lineage: Bacteria
Description: partial 16S ribosomal RNA
Rfam family: Bacterial small subunit ribosomal RNA
Source: RNAcentral
UACGAAGGUGGCAAGCGUUACUCGGAAUUACUAGGCGUAAAGCGCAGGUAGGUGGUUGUGUAAGUCUGCUGUGAAAGCUCCCGGCUUAACUGGGAGAGGUCAGCGGAUACUGCAUAGCUAGAGUGUGGGAGAGGGUACUGGAAUUCCCGGUGUAGCGGUGAAAUGCGCAGAGAUCGGGAGGAACACCAAAGGCGAAAGCAGGUACCUGGACCAUUACUGACACUGAGCUGCGAAAGCUAGGGGAGCAAAC